GGAAGGACUCCAGGUGGCCUACCAUUUUACAGGAAUAAGGCAACUCAAAAGUACUUAGCCAUCGACCCAAACGGAACCGUUUAUAUGUCGCCAACUCAAAACAGUGAUACUGUCAUCUACACUAUCAACGAUACCCGUGACUUGAGCAUAAUAUACUUAUACCGCCUUGUUGGUCAAAACAAGCGAUUAUAUCUGGACCUCUCGCCUCAGAGUAACACGGUCGGACCAGCGAACACCAGUAAUACAACUAAAUUUCGCUCUAGAAAUGGCGUAAAAACCUGUUAACAAGUAGUGGACCUAGACAAUUUUAAGAACUUUUAGAUUUUAGGAUGAAUAUUAAAGACCACGCGUAUUGGAUAUCACAGUAAGUUAUUUUGCAAAAUUAAAGGAACUUUUAAAGUCUUA
Pocillopora verrucosa is the source of this 405-nucleotide non-coding RNA. Lineage: Eukaryota; Metazoa; Cnidaria; Anthozoa; Scleractinia; Pocilloporidae. The record is from RefSeq and is a predicted model, not a curated record.